Molecule: ribosomal RNA, 301 nt
Filed under: uncultured bacterium
Lineage: Bacteria
Description: partial 16S ribosomal RNA
Rfam family: Bacterial small subunit ribosomal RNA
Source: RNAcentral
CAGCCGCCGCGGUAAUACGAGGGGGGCAAGCGUUGUUCGGAUUUAUUGGGCGUAAAGGGUGCGUAGGCGGUUUGGCAAGUCUCGUGUGAAAUCUAUGGGCUCAACCCAUAGCCUGCACGAGAAACUACCGGGCUUGAGUAUGGGAGAGGUGAGUGGAAUUUCCGGUGUAGCGGUGAAAUGCGUAGAUAUCGGAAGGAACACCUGUGGCGAAAGCGGCUCACUGGACCAUUACUGACGCUGAGGCGCGAAAGCUAGGGGAGCAAACAGGAUUAGAUACCCCCGUAGUCCCUGUCUCUUAUAC